Molecule: ribosomal RNA, 366 nt
Filed under: uncultured fungus
Lineage: Eukaryota; Fungi
Description: LSU rRNA
Rfam family: Eukaryotic large subunit ribosomal RNA
Source: RNAcentral
CUAACAAGGAUUCCCCUAGUAACUGCGAGUGAAGCGGGAAAAGCUCAAAUUUAAAAUCUGGCGGUCGUUGGCCGUCCGAGUUGUAAUCUAGAGAAGUGUUACCUGUGCUGGACCGUGUACAAGUCUCCUGGAAUGGAGCAUCAUAGAGGGUGAGAAUCCCGUCUUUGACAUGGACUGCCUGUACAUGAUGGUGCGCUCUCGAAGAGUCGAGUUGUUUGGGAAUGCAGCUCAAAAUGGGUGGUAAAUGCCAUCUAAAGCUAAAUAUUGGCGAGAGACCGAUAGCGAACAAGUACCGUGAGGGAAAGAUGAAAAGAACUUUGGAAAGAGAGUUAAACAGUACGUGAAAUUGCUGAAAGGGAAACGCUU